RNAcentral lists this ribosomal RNA (427 nucleotides) under uncultured bacterium. RNAcentral describes it as "bacterial SSU rRNA". It matches the Rfam family "Bacterial small subunit ribosomal RNA", at positions 355 to 774 of the family's 1533-position model. The record is from RNAcentral.
UGGGGAAUUUUGGACAAUGGGCGCAAGCCUGAUCCAGCAAUGCCGCGUGCAGGAUGAAGGCCUUCGGGUUGUAAACUGCUUUUGUACGGAACGAAAAGCUUCUGGUUAAUACCUGGGAGUCAUGACGGUACCGUAAGAAUAAGCACCGGCUAACUACGUGCCAGCAGCCGCGGUAAUACGUAGGGUGCGAGCGUUAAUCGGAAUUACUGGGCGUAAAGCGUGCGCAGGCGGUUAUGUAAGACAGAGGUGAAAUCCCCGGGCUCAACCUGGGAACUGCCUUUGUGAAUGCAUGGCUAGAGUGCGGCAGAGGGAGAUGGAAUUCCGCGUGUAGCAGUGAAGUGCGUAGAUAUGAGGAGGAACACCGAUGGCGAAGGCAAUCCCCUGGGCCUGCACUGACGCUCAUGCACGAAAGCGUGGGGAGCAAACA